UACAAAUGCUUACUGAGGUCAUAUAUAACAUCAUGGAUAAAACAUAGUUACAAUAGUUUCUUGCUUUUGUCUUUGUGCUGGCGAUGGCUUUACUAAACUUAUAUCGUUUAUUUUAUUCGACCUUGCUUUAUUCAUUGGCUUUGAUACUUUAUAGACAACAAUCAUAGGCUAGAAAGGAAGUGUGCUAGAAUUAUGUUGUAGGCCGUAAGUACAAUAUGUGGAUGGAUCAAGAACUAUAUAUAAAAUGUUGCAUUUCUUUCUGCUUGGUCAGCCUGUAAGUUGAUGAAGAAAACUUUGGCCUCAUUAAUAAUGUGUAAACUUGUUGGGCGGCAGACUUUUGUCAGGCGGUGGCGGGAAAUCCUAGCGCAUGCAAUUGCAUGGCCUGUUGUAGCCAACAACAGCUGCAGCCUGUGGACAUGGGGCCUCCUCUUUUCUCUGCCUCCAGCACUCUGGUUUUCAAUUGCUAACAGAUGUUUUUCUAAACACGAUAACACGAUGUGUGCAGGUUUGAGGAAGAAGAGAAGAAGGAAGUAUCAAGAAGACCAAGAUGGGGCAUUUCGUGAUGAGUUGGAAAUUGGAGGUUGGGGUACAAUUGCCGAGGACUCAACGGGUUAUUAGGUUUUUGUUGCAGUGGAAUGGUCAACUCACUUGUGCAUUACAGACGACACUUGUGCAUGCAAUUCAAUUCCAUUUACUGAACAAUAUUGUAUUAGUCAGGCUAUUUUUUUCUAUAGACUGAUUCUCAAGCGGGCAAUGGAUGAUCUCUCAAGGUUGGGAGUGCUCAUUCUUCAAGCCAAGUUCUUGUUGAAUUUCUCUUUUAUCAAACAUAGCUUUCAAUAUGUCUUAUGAGACUGUCACAAGUCAGCUCAUGCUCUGGAGGCAUUACAUGUGGGAGGUUGUCCUGGCAAUCAUAAUGUAUGGGUUACAAUUUUUCCUUGCGAUGCACACUGUUUGUUGCCAAUGAUCUGGCAGUGCCAUAAGGGAGUACAUGUGUUUUAUCUGUAAAUAUAAGAUAUAAGUUUAUAUGAACCGAAUAGAGUAAACUAUUCAGUGUGCAAACACAAAGUAUUCCUUAGUACAAA
Molecule: long non-coding RNA, 1082 nt
Organism: Lolium perenne
Lineage: Eukaryota; Viridiplantae; Streptophyta; Magnoliopsida; Poales; Poaceae
Source: RefSeq, a predicted model, not a curated record